CACGUAGGGCGCAAGCGUUGUCCGGAAUUAUUGGGCGUAAAGAGCUCGUAGGCGGUCUGUUGCGUCCGCUGUGAAAACUCGGGGCUUAACCCCGAGCCUGCAGUGGAUACGGGCAGACUAGAGGUAGGUAGGGGAGAAUGGAAUUCCCGGUGUAGCGGUGAAAUGCGCAGAUAUCGGGAGGAACACCGGUGGCGAAGGCGGUUCUCUGGGCCUUACCUGACGCUGAGGAGCGAAAGCAUGGGGAGCGAACGGG
Molecule: ribosomal RNA, 253 nt
Filed under: uncultured bacterium
Lineage: Bacteria
Description: partial 16S ribosomal RNA
Rfam family: Bacterial small subunit ribosomal RNA
Source: RNAcentral